RNAcentral lists this ribosomal RNA (532 nucleotides) under uncultured bacterium. RNAcentral describes it as "bacterial SSU rRNA". It matches the Rfam family "Bacterial small subunit ribosomal RNA", at positions 777 to 1304 of the family's 1533-position model. The record is from RNAcentral.
AAUAGAUACCCGGGUAGUCCACGCCGUAAACGAUGAGUGCUAAGUGUUAGAGGGGUUUUCCGCCCUUUUAGUGCUGCAGCUAACGCAUUAAGCACUCCGCCUGGGGAGUACGGCCGCAAGGCUGAAACUCAAAGGAAUUGACGGGGGCCCGCACAAGCGGUGGAGCAUGUGGUUUAAUUCGAAGCAACGCGAAGAACCUUACCAGGUCUUGACAUCCUCUGCCAACCCUAGAGAUAGGGCGUUCCCCUUCGGGGGACAGAGUGACAGGUGGUGCAUGGUUGUCGUCAGCUCGUGUCGUGAGAUGUUGGGUUAAGUCCCGCAACGAGCGCAACCCUUGAUCUUAGUUGCCAGCAUUCAGUUGGGCACUCUAAGGUGACUGCCGGUGACAAACCGGAGGAAGGUGGGGAUGACGUCAAAUCAUCAUGCCCCUUAUGACCUGGGCUACACACGUGCUACAAUGGAUGGUACAAAGAGCUGCGAACCCGCGAGGGUAAGCGAAUCUCAUAAAGCCAUUCUCAGUUCGGAUUGUAGG